CACAGGGUUCUAGACAGGUCAUAGUCUGGUGGGAACACACACCCCUCUGCUGCAAGUUCAUGAUUUAUUUAGCUAAAAACACAGAACUUAGUGAGCAAAUAAAAUAAGGUGGCUGUUCAAGUAGGAGAAGAUAUAGCCUGUUUUUCUGUGGCUUUUCUUUUGCCCUUGGGUUUCCAACUAAGAGCACAGCCAAGUGAAUUCAGAUGAGAAAACUGUGGCUCCACGAUAAAGUAAAAGACCAAGAGUCACAUAGUUCGAAGGUGGAGCAGCCAGCGUCCAAAUCUAGUAUCAGCUCAAAGACUCCCCCUGUCUCUGGCCCACGGAUAUGGGGAAUGGACUAGAAUGUCCUGAAAGGUGCAACACUCUGCCUCAGUGAGGAGAGGAUCACAGACAAAAUAGGGAAAAGAGUCAAAAACACAAAGAAUGAAAUUUCAGGAGAGUCAAGGCAUUUCCUACAAGAUACAUGGUGAUGUUCUACUAUGCCAGAUUA
This is a long non-coding RNA of Hyaena hyaena (striped hyena), 490 nucleotides long. RefSeq lists it as uncharacterized. The transcript has 3 exons. NCBI's taxonomy places the organism in Eukaryota, Metazoa, Chordata, Mammalia, Carnivora, Hyaenidae. The record is from RefSeq and is a predicted model, not a curated record.